AAAGAGGUUAUUGCCAAGUGUGCUCUUCGCUCUCCUCCUCUAUCUAUCCUGCAUUUAGCAGAGAGCCUAACCUUCACUCAGCCGCUGUGCGUUGGCUGGCAGGCUUCAUUGUGAUAAAACAUUUCAGGAACUGAUGUCAACAAGUUUUUCUUCAGAAUGUGUUUGAAUGCUACAACCAAGGUCACGUGGCAGCUUUCUAUACAAGACACGCACGUAAGAAGACAUGCCACACAUUGCCUCGGUGCUCUUGUGUGAGUCUCUGGACAUGGGCUGUUACGUGUGGUAAGAUUUUAACUUCAGAAAUUACCCUGGUGAGGACGUCAUUGUAACGUCGACAAAAUUAUUCAAAAUACAUCCAUCCAUUUUAAUCCGCCUAUCCGGAGCCAGGUCGCAGAGGCAGCAGGUCAAGCAAAGCACCUCAGACGUCCUUCUCCUCAGCAACGCUUUCCAGCUCCUCCUGGUGGACCCCAAAACGUUCCCAGGCCAGAUGAGAUAUGUAAUCCCUCCAGCGUGUCCUGGGUCUAACCUGGGGCCUCCUACCAGUGGGAUGUGCCUGGAACACUUCUGGCACCCAGGAGGAUCCUGAUCAGAUGCCUGAACCAUCUCAUCUGACCGGCAUCACUGCAGAUGCUGCACCAAUCCGCUGAUCCAUCUUCCACUCCGUUCUACCCUCACUCGUGAACAAGACCCCGAGAUAUUUGAACUCUUUUGCUUGAGGCAGUUACUCUAAGCUUUUUCUGAUUCGACACCUCUGUCAGCAGGGGGUCGUCAUUUCUCAGUGCCUUCCAAAAUUGUUACCGCUCACUUUUGAAAAAUAAAUCUGGUUCAUGGUGUGACAACUCUGUGGUUAAGGUUUGGUUAGAUUUAGGCAUAAAAAAACAACUUUAGGGACACAU
Long non-coding RNA from Epinephelus moara (kelp grouper), 896 nucleotides. RefSeq lists it as uncharacterized. The record is from RefSeq and is a predicted model, not a curated record. The transcript is spliced from 3 exons. Lineage: Eukaryota; Metazoa; Chordata; Actinopteri; Perciformes; Serranidae.